GGAGAGAGAAGUCUUGGAAAAACUAGAGUGAGUAGUUCUGGGAAUUUCAUUUGCUUUUUUUGUAUAUGUUACAAAAGCUCACAGACCUCCACUUCUUGCUUUAAGCAAUAAAUGGAAAUAUAGGAAUUAUAUGUUUGAUUAUAGUAGCUACAAUUGGUAGAACCUGAAAUUCGCAUUUGCUUCAUCUGUGACUUGGAGGUCAUGUGUUUGAGCCACGUAAAUAGCCUUUUUGCAGAGCAGACGUAAGGCUGCGUGCAUUUAGCCUUCUCCAGAGCCCACAAGUGUGGGAUG
This 291-nucleotide unclassified non-coding RNA is filed under the name Hevea brasiliensis (rubber tree). The record is from RNAcentral. Lineage: Eukaryota; Viridiplantae; Streptophyta; Magnoliopsida; Malpighiales; Euphorbiaceae.